Molecule: ribosomal RNA, 251 nt
Filed under: uncultured prokaryote
Description: partial 16S rRNA
Rfam family: Bacterial small subunit ribosomal RNA
Source: RNAcentral
ACGGAGGGUGCGAGCGUUAAUCGGAAUCACUGGGCGUAAAGCGCACGUAGGCGGUGUCGUAAGUCGGAUGUGAAAGCCCUCGGCUCAACCGGGGAACUGCAUUCGAUACUGCGAUGCUUGAGUGCCGGAGAGGGUGGCGGAAUUCCAGGUGGAGGAGUGGAAUCCUUAGAUAUCUGGAGGAACACCAGAGGCGAAGGCGGCCAACUGGCCGGCAACUGACGCGGGGGUGCGAGAGCGAGGGGAUGAAGCAG